GUACAUCUCCGAUUUACUCUCAAACACUAAACUCAGUCUAACUCUUUUUCUGCUUUUGUUUUUCAGGACUUCCAGGAAAUAAACCUCAGGGAGUCAGAUUUCAGACUAAACGUCACUUUGUUCGGAGCUUUCAGAUGGAUUUCCAGGAAACAAGGAGUCAGAUUUCAGACUUUACAUCACUUUGGACCUUUCAGAUAGAUCUCAAGGAAACAAACCUCAGGGAGUCAGAAGUCAGACUUGAUAUCACUUUAUUUGGAGCUUUUAGAUGGUAAG
Molecule: long non-coding RNA, 273 nt
Organism: Mugil cephalus (flathead mullet)
Lineage: Eukaryota; Metazoa; Chordata; Actinopteri; Mugiliformes; Mugilidae
Exons: 3
Source: RefSeq, a predicted model, not a curated record